GCAUAUAUAUAAAUUGCACUACCUAAAAAGUAAGCAGCUAGCAAUACAACCCAUGUUCCCUCACAAUAAAGAAGUCCUAAUCACUCAUAUGAAAUUAUGCAUGUCAAUGCAGGGAUGGUCAAGAGAUACUUACACUCACAAAAGAAGUUACACCAAUGUGCAUCAAGUACCAUAGGUUUACCCAUAUUUUCUUUACAUUAGCUUUCAGAUAGUCAAGUUAGGA
This 223-nucleotide long non-coding RNA is filed under the name Capsicum annuum. RNAcentral's name for it is "long non-coding RNA (CANN_LNC001010)". Lineage: Eukaryota; Viridiplantae; Streptophyta; Magnoliopsida; Solanales; Solanaceae. The record is from RNAcentral.